GAUGAACGCUGGCGGCGUGCUUAACACAUGCAAGUCGAACGGAAACAUAUUGAAACCUAGUGAUAUAUGUUUUAGUGGCGGACGGGUGAGUAACGCGUGGGUAACCUGCCUUGUACUGGGGGAUAACAGUUAGAAAUAGCUGCUAAUACCGCAUAAGACCACAGUUUCGCAUGAAACAGAGGUAAAAACUCCGGUGGUACAAGAUGGACCCGCGUCUGAUUAGCUGGUUGGUGAGGUAACGGCUCACCAAGGCGACGAUCAGUAGCCGGCCUGAGAGGGUGGACGGCCACAUUGGGACUGAGACACGGCCCAAACUCCUACGGGAGGCAGCAGUGGGGAAUAUUGCACAAUGGGGGAAACCCUGAUGCAGCGACGCCGCGUGAGUGAAGAAGUAUUUCGGUAUGUAAAGCUCUAUCAGCAGGGAAGAAAAAUGACGGUACCUGACUAAGAAGCCCCGGCUAACUACGUG
RNAcentral lists this ribosomal RNA (469 nucleotides) under uncultured bacterium. Its description in RNAcentral is "bacterial SSU rRNA". It matches the Rfam family "Bacterial small subunit ribosomal RNA", at positions 28 to 507 of the family's 1533-position model. The record is from RNAcentral.